AGCCAUGCGAGUUGAUGAAUGCGAUAUCAUUUCAUGGCAAACUGCUUAGUAACACAUGAUCAACCUACCCUAUGGAGGGAACUAACCUCGGGAAACUGAGGAUAAUGUCCCAUAGCAGAUUCGGCUUGGAAAAGUGUAUCUGUGAAUGGGGUAGAGAAUUGUCUCUACGUGCCAUAGGAUGGGAUUGUGGUCGAUUAGGUAGUUGGUGAGGUAAUGGCUCACCAAGCCGAUAAUCGAUAGAGGCCGUGAGAGCGGGAGCCUCAAGAUGGGUACUGAGACAGCGACCCAGGCCCUACGGGGCGCAGCAGGCGCGAAACCUCCACAAUGCACGCAAGUGCGAUGGGGCUACCCAAAGUGCUCCACACGGAGCUGUGGUGGAUGAGUAAUGUUCUCCGCUAGAAAGGAGAGGGCAAGGCUGGUGCCAGCCGCCGCGGUAAAACCAGCUCUUCAAGUGGUCGGGAUAAUUAUUGGGCUUAAAGUGUCCGUAGCUGGUAGAGUAAGUUCCUGGUAAAAGUGGGCAGCUUAACUGUCCUUAUGCUAGGGAUACUGCUCUCCUAGAGGGCGGGAGAAGUCUGAGGUACUACAGGGGUAGGGGUGAAAUCUUAUAAUCCUUGUAGGACCACCAGUGGCGAAAGCGUCAGACCAGAACGCGCCUGACAGUGAGGGACGAAAGCCAGGGGAGCGAACCGGAUUAGAUACCCGGGUAGUCCUGGCCGUAAACGAUGCGCACUAGGUGACGGUGCGGCUAUGAGCCGCAUCGGUGUCGUAGGGAAACCGUUAAGUGUGCCGCCUGGGAAGUACGGUCGCAAGGCUAAACUAAAGAAUGGCGGG
Molecule: ribosomal RNA, 831 nt
Filed under: uncultured archaeon
Lineage: Archaea
Description: bacterial SSU rRNA
Rfam family: Archaeal small subunit ribosomal RNA
Source: RNAcentral